GGGGAGUAUGGUCGUGAGGUUCAAAUUUAAAGGAAUUGAUGGAAGGGCACUACCAGGAGUGGAGCCUGUGGCUUAAUUUCACUCAACACGGGGAAACUGACCAGGUCCAGACAUAGUAAAGAUUGACAUACUGAAAGUGCUUUCUUGUUUCUAUGGGUGGCGUUGAUGAUUUCUCUUAUUUGGUAGAGCAAUUCGUCUAGUUAAUCCCAUUAAUGAACAAGACCUCAGCUUGCUAAGUAGCUACAUAGAGGCAUCCUCCACUGUCAGCUUCUUAGAAGGACUAGGCCAUUUAGGCCACGAAAGUUUAGGCAAUAACAGACCUAUGAUGCCCAAAGAUAAAGUAGGGCCGCAUGCAUGCUACACCUAUGUAUUCAAAUAAAAAUAGCCCUGCCGACAUAAAAUAACCAAAAGGUGUCACAAUUUAGUAUGACAAUGCACUUCCUUUUAAUUUCACUGAAUUUUCAUUACUCAUGAAAUCAAUUUACAAGUACUUAUAUUUUACCUUUGCAAA
RNAcentral lists this non-coding RNA (511 nucleotides) under Amborella trichopoda. Its description in RNAcentral is "Eukaryotic small subunit ribosomal RNA". It matches the Rfam family "Eukaryotic small subunit ribosomal RNA", at positions 1118 to 1590 of the family's 1831-position model. The record is from Rfam by way of RNAcentral. Lineage: Eukaryota; Viridiplantae; Streptophyta; Magnoliopsida; Amborellales; Amborellaceae.